This 496-nucleotide ribosomal RNA is filed under the name uncultured bacterium. RNAcentral describes it as "partial 16S ribosomal RNA". It matches the Rfam family "Bacterial small subunit ribosomal RNA", at positions 28 to 506 of the family's 1533-position model. The record is from RNAcentral.
GACGAACGCUGGCGGCGUGCCUAAUACAUGCAAGUUGAGCGCUGAAGGUUGGUACUUGUACCAACUGGAUGAGCAGCGAACGGGUGAGUAACGCGUGGGGAAUCUGCCUUUGAGCGGGGGACAACAUUUGGAAACGAAUGCUAAUACCGCAUAAAAACUUUAAACACAAGUUUUAAGUUUGAAAGAUGCAAUUGCAUCACUCAAAGAUGAUCCCGCGUUGUAUUAGCUAGUUGGUGAGGUAAAGGCUCACCAAGGCGAUGAUACAUAGCCGACCUGAGAGGGUGAUCGGCCACAUUGGGACUGAGACACGGCCCAAACUCCUACGGGAGGCAGCAGUAGGGAAUCUUCGGCAAAGGACGAAAGUCUGACCGAGCAACGCCGCGUGAGUGAAGAAGGUUUUCGGAUCGUAAAACUCUGUUGGUAGAGAAGAACGUUGGUGAGAGUGGAAAGCUCAUCAAGUGACGGUAACUACCCAGAAAGGGACGGCUAACUACGU